This 661-nucleotide ribosomal RNA is filed under the name uncultured Arthrobacter sp. RNAcentral's name for it is "bacterial SSU rRNA". It matches the Rfam family "Bacterial small subunit ribosomal RNA", at positions 219 to 890 of the family's 1533-position model. Lineage: Bacteria; Bacillati; Actinomycetota; Actinomycetes; Micrococcales; Micrococcaceae. The record is from RNAcentral.
GAAUUCCAAGCUUCGCGGCCUAUCAGCUUGUUGGUGAGGUAAUGGCUCACCAAGGCGACGACGGGUAGCCGGCCUGAGAGGGUGACCGGCCACACUGGGACUGAGACACGGCCCAGACUCCUACGGGAGGCAGCAGUGGGGAAUAUUGCACAAUGGGCGCAAGCCUGAUGCAGCGACGCCGCGUGAGGGAUGACGGCCUUCGGGUUGUAAACCUCUUUCAGUAGGGAAGAAGCGAAAGUGACGGUACCUGCAGAAGAAGCGCCGGCUAACUACGUGCCAGCAGCCGCGGUAAUACGUAGGGCGCAAGCGUUAUCCGGAAUUAUUGGGCGUAAAGAGCUCGUAGGCGGUUUGUCGCGUCUGCCGUGAAAGUCCGGGGCUCAACUCCGGAUCUGCGGUGGGUACGGGCAGACUAGAGUGAUGUAGGGGAGACUGGAAUUCCUGGUGUAGAGGUGAAAUGCGCAGAUAUCAGGAGGAACACCGAUGGCGAAGGCAGGUCUCUGGGCAUUAACUGACGCUGAGGAGCGAAAGCAUGGGGAGCGAACAGGAUUAGAUACCCUGGUAGUCCAUGCCGUAAACGUUGGGCACUAGGUGUGGGGGGCAUUCCACGUUUUCCGCGCCGUAGCUAACGCAUUAAGUGCCCCGCCUGGGGAGUACGAGAUCU